GCCCAAGGUUUCCUGCUCUACGUUCAUCGGAGCAGGGUGAGUCGGCCCCUAAGGCGAGGCUGAGAAGCGUAGCUGAUGGGAACAAGGUUAAUAUUCCUUGACCGCCGUUGAGUGCGAAGGGGGGACGGAGUGUUGAAGAUCAUCCGGGUGUUGGAUGUCCCGGUUUGUGAACGUAGGAGGCCGGCAGGCAAAUCCGCCGGCAUAUCUCCGAGGUGAAGCAUCGAGGUCCGUAUGGACCGAAGUGAUCGGAUGGGCUCCCAGGAAAAGCCUCUAAGCUCCAGCUCAACGGGACCGUACCGCAAACCGACACUGGUGGGCGAGCUGAAUAUGCUCAGGCGCUUGAGAGAACUCAGGAGAAGGAACUCGGCAAAUUGACACCGUAACUUCGGGAUAAGGUGUGCCUCGGUAGCGUGAAGGAAGAAACAUCCGGAGCGUGAAGAGGUCUCAGAGAAUCGGUGGCUGCGACUGUUUACUAAAAACACAGCACUCUGCAAAGACGAAAGUCGACGUAUAGGGUGUGAUGCCUGCCCGGUGCUGGAAGAUUAAGUGAUGGGGUGAGAGCUCCUGAUCGAAGUCCCAGUAAACGGCGGCCGUAACUAUAACGGUCCUAAGGUAGCGAAAUUCCUUGUCGGGUAAGUUCCGACCUGCACGAAUGGCAUAAUGAUGGCCACACUGUCUCCUCCCGAGACUCAGUGAAGUUGAAAUGUUUGUGAUGAUGCAAUCUCCCCGCGGCUAGACGGAAAGACCCCAUGAACCUUUACUGUAGCUUUGCAUUGGACUUUGAACCGAUCUGUGUAGGAUAGGUGGGAGGCUGUGAAACCGGGACGCCAGUACCGGUGGAGCCGUCCUUGAAAUACCACCCUGAUUUGUUUGAGGUUCUAACCUAGGUCGGUAAUCCCGAUCGGGGACCGUGCAUGGUAGGCAGUUUGACUGGGGCGGUCUCCUCCUAAAGGGUAACGGAGGAGUGCGAAGGUACGCUAGGUACGGUCGGAAAUCGUGCUGAUAGUGCAAUGGCAAAAGCGUGCUUGACUGCGAGACCCACAAGUCGAGCAGAUACGAAAGUAGGUCAUAGUGAUCCGGUGGCUCUGUAUGGAAGGGCCAUCGCUCAACGGAUAAAAGGUACUCUGGGGAUAACAGGCUGAUACCGCCCAAGAGUUCAUAUCGACGGCGGUGUUUGGCACCUCGAUGUCGGCUCAUCUCAUCCUGGGGCUGUAGCCGGUCCCAAGGGUAUGGCUGUUCGCCAUUUAAAGAGGUACGUGAGCUGGGUUUAAAACGUCGUGAGACAGUUUGGUCCCUAUCUGCCGUGGGCGCUGGAAGAUUGACGGGGGCUGCUCCUAGUACGAGAGGACCGGAGUGGACGCACCUCUGGUGUACCGGUUGUCACGCCAGUGGCAUCGCCGGGUAGCUAUGUGCGGAAGAGAUAACCGCUGAAAGCAUCUAAGCGGGAAACUUGCCUGAAGAUAAGUCUUCCUGGAGGCUAGACCUCCCUAAAGAGUCGUUCGAGACCAGGACGUUGAUAGGUUGGGUGUGUAAGCGCUGUGAGGCGUUGAGCUAACCAAUACUAAUUGCUCGUGCAGCUUGAUCCU
RNAcentral lists this ribosomal RNA (1586 nucleotides) under metagenome. Its description in RNAcentral is "bacterial LSU rRNA". It matches the Rfam family "Bacterial large subunit ribosomal RNA", at positions 1343 to 2925 of the family's 2925-position model. The record is from RNAcentral.